UCUGCCUGUACUGGGUUUGUGUGGCAAGAUUUUGGGGGGGGGGGGUUACAGGGGUGUCUUCUCUGAGAAGCUGCUGGAAGCUUCCCCUAUGUCCAACAGAGCCAACACCAGCCGGCUCUAAGACGGACCUGCUGCCGGCCAAGGCCAAGCCAAUCAGUGAUAGUGGUAGUGCCUCUGGGAUAACAUAUUUAAGAAGGAAAAAAGUUGCAGGGCACACAGAAAUGGCAGCUGGAAAGAGGAGUGAGAACAUGUAAGAGAAACAAUCCUGCAGACACCCAGGUCAGUGAAGGAGGGGAAGAGAUGCUCCAGGUGCCAGAGCAGAGAUUCCCCUGCAGCCUGUGGUGAAGACCAUGGUGAGGCAGGCUGUCCCCCUGCAGCCCACAGAGGCCCACAGUGGAGCAGAUAUCCACCUGCAGCCUGGGGAGGACCCCAUGCCAGAGCAGGUAUUCAAGACGAUUCAGUAGUCUCAACAUGGAUCAGCUCAGAUCCCCAUACUUAAGGUAAGUUAGGCAUUUAUAGCCUCCUUCAAGUGCUAUGUAACAGUUGCAGUAGUCAAUGCCUUUUGCCGAACAGGAAGUCCUUAUGAAGCUGGAAAGCUGUUUCCAGAGAACCUCUCACUUUCUUGCACAUGAUAUCGGGGGACACUGUCUUCGUACCUGGAACGCUGGAAGAACCCGCACUGGGGCAGAGAAGAAAAAGAACAGUUUAGGUUUGAAUUGCUACCAAAGCACUACAAUUAUAGAGGCAGUAAAUUCUUCCUUUGCACAGAUAGACAGGCAGAAGACCAAAAGAGUGAAAUAGACCCACACAUUCAAAGUGGGUCCCACAGUGUCUUCUUGUGCCUGCUCAAUCCUGCAUGCAGUAAGUACACAUACUCGCUGUCUGUGUGCACCAGCUAACACCUGGGCAUGCCACAGUUAGGGGUCUGGGUUUAAGUUUUCUUCCCUACCUGCAUGGGUUUUUAUGCUGUACAACUGAACGUGCAUGAACUGCUCCGAAAAAAAAAAAAGUGUACAGCCAGCCUCAGGUCACUUUGUCAAAAUAUCAUCAUAAAACAUAGAAGCUCUAGUCUGCAGCCAGACUGCAUGUUCUGAACUGGAAGUCAGGAUUUUGGGACAAGAAAAGCCAGUUUUAAAUCUAGCAACUUUUCCAAGUAUUCAUAUGCAUAAAGAGAGAAGCUGUUCGUUUGAUUAAAAGCAGCUGUUGGCAGUAAUCUAAAUUACUCACUCUGAAUUCAUACUCUAUGAGGUUUCCAAUAUUAUCUUCAGAUUUCAUAGCACUCUCACCAAUGAUGUUACCUCCAAAAUAUACCUGAGAAGGCUUAGCAACUCUGUUCAGGUGGGGGUGGGGAAGGAGAAUAAUCAGAUUUUAAUGAAGUCUGCAGCAAAAGUGUCAUCCCCAGCCCCUCCCCAUUUGUUAUGCUAUCAACACUUACCCAGUGAGUGAUAAAAGCAAUUCAAGAACCACUUUAGCACUAGCUGUAAUUGGAGUCGAAUUAACUUGAGUACUUGUUCUACAAUGAAAAGGAAAGAAUGCCGUUUAUUUUACAAAUUUCAGUUUUCAUUUUACUAUUAAAUUGCUUUUGUGAAUCGAACAAAUUAAUUCAAAACAUUUACAACUGUAUAUAAAAACAUAGCGAGCACACACACAAAGAAAACUUACGUUUCCAACUUCAGAUUAAUGUCCAAGUCUGUUGUAUCAACAUUAACUUUAGUGGUACUUAAGAUCAGAUAAAAGGUUACCUAGACAAGAAAGAACAUCCAUGAAAUAUAUAAACAUUUUAUAAAAUAUAUUAAUGUAUGCAGUAUUAUAGAAAUACACCAUCAAAUUCUAGAGUUAAAAAAACAGAUCCAAAUCAAAUUUCCAGUUAUGACACAGAAACUUUGGACAACUGCAAUCAGGAAUCAGAUUUUAUAACUUGAGUAAAAUGGGUGCAACUUACAUUAGAAUUUCUUUUGAAAGGAUUUCCAAGUUCGCACUCUGCUUGAGAACCAUUUUGGUUAGCACCACAUGUUAGCUGUUUUUCCUGAUUAAACAGAAUACAUUUAAAAAUAAAUAUAUGCUGAAAAUAUUUUAAAAUUGAGUAUCUUUUCUCUGAAAAAAUACUUACAGGAUAACCCCUCAUCUCCCUGAAUGCAGAAUACGUCAGACUGUCUGGAAAAGUUGCUAUUAGUUUGGCUUCAUAUGCAUCUUCACCAUCUUUUUGGGGAUUUUUUGCAUCAGAUGGAUUGUUUGUCACCGUUAUCUCCAGGGCAAUAUCUUUCUGAUCUUUCAGAACAAGCACUGGCAUGCCAUUUUCACUACAGAAACAGAGUAUACAGCAUUGGGUACAUUAGGAAAACAAACAUAUAUGAAAGUUUGCUUUUUACUGUGGCUUACCCAAAUAUAACUCCCUCUAUUAGGGAAGAAUUACUGUAAGACCAUAAACACAUGAAUCAUCAUCAUAGUUUUUUUUUUUUCCCCAGACCAGUAUUUAGUCUCUCGAAGUGGGCAGCAGUUAACAGGAUAGAACAGACUGAUAUACCCCUCAAGUAAUCAUGAGCUUACAGUAUUUCUGAACCAGCACUUGCAUCUGGCUCAUGUUUAAUAGUGAUGAAUUUUCUCUGAAUAAAUCUACUGACCUACUUUUUUCUUGUAAAGUAUACGUGGUUUUGUCAUCCAAGUCAGGUUGUGGCACUCACUGCUAAAGGAGACGAACUGUUGACAGUAAGUAAACAUACUUCCUUUUGUUUGUUUCACACCUCUUUUCUAAUUUCACUGGCCCUCCAGGGAGGAGAGGUGCAGCGGGGUGUUAGCUGUGUGUUACAGUGAAGUGAUUUCUCUGUUCAUUUCUUUGUAACUGCUUCUCUUAGGCUACUAGACUAUAGUAUAUCAUGUUAUCAUACUCGCAAUCAAACCUCAUCUCAAUAAUAGUUAACAGUACCACACACAGUAAGCUACUGCAAGGCUGGUUUACAAUCUCCUUUCUCCAGGGUUAGAAACUUUUUUUUCCUAACCUUUAGCCCACACCUGCAUGUUUGUGGCCACCUUGUAUCCAUUUGUCUCCCUACCCCUACUCUUCUUCUGAAGUUCAUCUCCACUCCCCCACCUUCCCCACCCUGACAGAUCAGUACACCCAGACAGAUCUGGCGUUUGCCAGACUAACAGAAUAAAGCUGCUCUAUCUCCCAAAACCCUCUCCCAAAAGUUCUUUGAAGCACUUGUUAAUAAUUUGAAUUUUAGCAAUGCAUUAAUCAAGGCUUACAUUGGUAAAUAAGUAAACCUGUCUUCAUUUCCUUCUCUAGUGCAAAACCGGUACUGAAGUUUCAGAUUGCUGUGACAUUUAUUGUCUUCUCCACAUCCUUCUUUUAAGAACUCCACCUAAAUAAAACCAAAGCACUUUUACUGCAUGCCACAUGAUACUAGCUUAAAACAAGAUUCUGACAUGCGCUGCAUAAAGCACCUACAGGGAACUCAGAGACAUUUUCCUGGAUAGAAGCUAAUCCAGUGUUGCAACGAUGGGAACAGCACUGAGCGUGCCAGGCCUCGGGAGCAUGCAGAUGGGCACACAUGAGCUGCCUCCGAGAGCUGGAAGCACUUGACCUGUUGAAGGACCAGGACCUUAUUCAGGCACAUCCUACAACUUUUACUAGGUACUGAGAAACUCAAGACAACCCAGGAGGAGAAGGAGAAAUGUCGACUGUGACCUGACUGUUCCCUGAGAUGCUCGCCAUUUCCUCCAGCAAAAUACGGAAGAUGGGAUUUGGCAUUCCUUGUAUUUCUCAUGUGAAAAACCAAAGCAGAGAUAAACCAGAUUGCCAUCCUUCAUUACACAGGCAGCAGGAGUUAACCAAGGCCGUACCCGUCAUUGUUGAGAUCCACAACAGCAACAUCAUAGCCAAAAGAAGAGGCCAGCCC
Molecule: long non-coding RNA, 3896 nt
Organism: Harpia harpyja (harpy eagle)
Lineage: Eukaryota; Metazoa; Chordata; Aves; Accipitriformes; Accipitridae
Exons: 6
Source: RefSeq, a predicted model, not a curated record